Ciona intestinalis (vase tunicate) is the source of this 68-nucleotide non-coding RNA. Lineage: Eukaryota; Metazoa; Chordata; Ascidiacea; Phlebobranchia; Cionidae. The record is from the annotation of a RefSeq genome assembly.
UCUAGAAUGGCGGACGAAACGCAUAAAAUUUAAGAUUUUAGCAUGAUCUUUUAAAAGAUCUUCUAGAA